RNAcentral lists this ribosomal RNA (247 nucleotides) under uncultured bacterium. RNAcentral describes it as "partial 16S ribosomal RNA". It matches the Rfam family "Bacterial small subunit ribosomal RNA", at positions 523 to 769 of the family's 1533-position model. The record is from RNAcentral.
AUACGUAGGUGGCAAGCGUUGUCCGGAUUUACUGGGUGUAAAGGGCGUGUAGGCGGGAGAUCAAGUCAGAUGUGAAAUACCGGGGCUCAACCCCGGGGCUGCAUUUGAAACUGAUUUUCUUGAGUGCUGGAGAGGAAAGCGGAAUUCCUAGUGUAGCGGUGAAAUGCGUAGAUAUUAGGAGGAACACCAGUGGCGAAGGCGACUUACUGGACUGUAACUGACACUGAGGCACGAAAGCGUGGGUAGC